Molecule: small RNA, 381 nt
Filed under: Vigna angularis var. angularis
Lineage: Eukaryota; Viridiplantae; Streptophyta; Magnoliopsida; Fabales; Fabaceae
Description: Non-protein coding transcript
Source: RNAcentral
AUUCGAAUGGUUCUGCUAGGUUUAUUUGUACUGUUGACCCUUUUUCUUCUCAGCAUUCCAUUGAAGGAUUUUUACGGCCAAAGCUCGGUUCAAAAAGCACAGAGCAUGCUGGAUCAUCAUCCAUCCAUGCACUGUGGCAACCCGAAACUUCUCCUCAAUCACCGUUAAGUUCAAGUACAGUCCCGGUUGAAAUUCCCGUAAGUUUGGGGCACACUGACAUGAUGACGGAUCUCCCUGAAACACAGGGUUAUGAUGAAGAACUGCAGAUGAAUAUAGGACCAAACCCAGAACAAAAAAAAUGUGAACCUGCACGUUGCAGCAGUGAAGCUACUCAAAAGGUUGUCUUGUACUAUGAAGGACAACGUAUGGAUCAUAAAUCCA